RNAcentral lists this ribosomal RNA (443 nucleotides) under uncultured bacterium. RNAcentral's name for it is "partial 16S ribosomal RNA". It matches the Rfam family "Bacterial small subunit ribosomal RNA", at positions 338 to 795 of the family's 1533-position model. The record is from RNAcentral.
CCUACGGGGUGCAGCAGUGGGGAAUAUUGGGCAAUGGGCGCAAGCCUGACCCAGCAACGCCGCGUGAAGGAAGAAGGCUUUCGGGUUGUAAACUUCUUUUCUCAGGGACGAAGCAAGUGAUGGUCCCUGAGGAAUAAGCCACUGCUAACUACGUGCCAGCAGCCGCGGUAAUACGUAGGUGGCAAGCGUUAUCCGGAUUUGCUGGGUGUACAGGGUGUGUAGGCGGGGACGCAAGUCAGAUGUGAAAACCACGGGCUCAACCUGUGGCCUGCAUUUGAUACUGUGUUUCUUGAGUACUGGGGAGGCAGACGGAAUGCCUAGUGUAGCGGUGAAAUGCGUAGAUAUUAGGAGGAACACCAGUGGCGAAGGCGGUCUGCUGGACAGCAACUGACGCUGAGGCGCGAAAGCGUGGGGAGCAAACAGGAUUAGAUACCCGAGUAGUC